GUUGAAUUGGCAGAUUAGUGCUUUAAAUUUAGAAUUUAAAAAUGUAAGAUUUACAUUCAAUA
RNAcentral lists this transfer RNA (62 nucleotides) under Symplana lii. RNAcentral describes it as "tRNA-Leu". Lineage: Eukaryota; Metazoa; Arthropoda; Insecta; Hemiptera; Lophopidae. The record is from RNAcentral.